GACGAACGCUGGCGGCGUGCUUAACACAUGCAAGUCGAACGGAAAGGCCCUGCUUUUGUGGGGUGCUCGAGUGGCGAACGGGUGAGUAACACGUGAGUAACCUGCCCUUGACUUUGGGAUAACUUCAGGAAACUGGGGCUAAUACCGGAUAGGAGCUCCUGCUGCAUGGUGUGGGUUGGAAAGUUUCGGCGGUUGGGGAUGGACUCGCGGCUUAUCAGCUUGUUGGUGGGGUAGUGGCUUACCAAGGCUUUGACGGGUAGCCGGCCUGAGAGGGUGACCGGCCACAUUGGGACUGAGAUACGGCCCAGACUGCUACGGGAGGCAGCAGUGGGGAAUAUUGCACAAUGGGCGGAAGCCUGAUGCAGCAACGCCGCGUGCGGGAUGACGGCCUUCGGGUUGUAAACCGCUUUCGCCUGUGACGAGGCGUGAGUGACGGUAAUGGGUAAAGAAGCACCGGCUAACUACGUG
This 468-nucleotide ribosomal RNA is filed under the name uncultured bacterium. RNAcentral describes it as "partial 16S ribosomal RNA". It matches the Rfam family "Bacterial small subunit ribosomal RNA", at positions 28 to 507 of the family's 1533-position model. The record is from RNAcentral.